GAUGAACGCUGGCGGCGUGCCUAACACAUGCAAGUCGAGCGGCAGCGAGUUUCUCACUGUUUGCUUCUCUUUUUUCGUCAUACGAAAGAAUAUAGAGGAGUGAAGAGUGAGGAAUGUCGGCGAGCGGCGGACGGCUGAGUAACGCGUGGGAACGUGCCCCAAAGUGAGGGAUAACGCACCGAAAGGUGUGCUAAUACCGCAUAUGGUCUUCGGAUUAAAGAAUUUAUUCGCUUUGGGAGCGGCCCGCGUCGGAUUAGGUUGUUGGUGAGGUAAUGGCUCACCAAGCCGACGAUCCGUAGCUGGUCUGAGAGGAUGACCAGCCAGACUGGAACUGAGACACGGUCCAGACUCCUACGGGAGGCAGCAGUGAGGAAUCUUCCACAAUGGGCGAAAGCCUGAUGGAGCAACGCCGCGUGCAGGAUAAAGGCCUUCGGGUUGUAAACUGCUUUUUUCUGUGAUGAAUAUGACAGUAACAGACGAAUAAGGAUCGGCUAACUACGUGCCAGCAGCCGCGGUCAUACGUAGGAUCCGAGCGUUAUCCGGAGUGACUGGGCGUAAAGAGUUGCGUAGGUGGUUUGUUAAGUAGGUAGUGAAAUCUGACGGCUCAACCGUUCAGGCUAUUACCUAAACUGGCAAACUCGAGAAUGGUAGAGGUAACUGGAAUUUCUAGUGUAGGAGUGGAAUCCGUAGAUAUUAGAAGGAACACCAAUGGCGUAGGCAGGUUACUGGACCAUUUCUGACACUGAGGCACGAAAGCGUGGGGAGCGAACCGGAUUAGAUACCCGGGUAGUCCACGCCGUAAACGAUGGAUACUAGCUGUUAGAGGUAUCGACCCCUCUAGUAGCGAAGCUAACGCGUUAAGUAUCCCGCCUGUGGAGUACGGUCGCAAGACUAAAACAUAAAGGAAUUGACGGGGACCCGCACAAGUAGUGGAUCGUGUUCUUUAAUUCGAUGCUAAACGAAGAACCUUACCAGGGCUUGACAUCCUUGGAAGCUCUGCGAAAGUAGAGUGUGCCUUUUGGAACCAAGUGACAGGUGAUGCAUGGCCGUCGUCAGCUCGUGUCGUGAGAUGUUUGGUUAAGUCCAUCAACGAGCGCAACCCUUGUGAAUAGUUGUAUUUUUCUAUUCAAACUGCCCCGGUAACGGGGAGGAAGGAGGGGAUGAUGUCAGGUCAGUAUUUCCCUUACGUCCUGGGCUAGAAACACGAUACAAUGGCAAGUACAAUGCGCAGCGAAGCCGCGAGGUGGAGCAAAUCGCAUCAAAGCUUGUCCCAGUUCGGAUUGGAGGCUGAAACUCGCCUCCAUGAAGUCGGAAUUACUAGUAAUCGCAAAUCAGCAAGUUGCGGUGAAUACGUUCCCGGGUCU
RNAcentral lists this ribosomal RNA (1364 nucleotides) under uncultured bacterium. RNAcentral describes it as "bacterial SSU rRNA". It matches the Rfam family "Bacterial small subunit ribosomal RNA", at positions 28 to 1381 of the family's 1533-position model. The record is from RNAcentral.